UACGUAGGGUGCAAGCGUUUGUCCGGAAUUAUUGGGCGUAAAGAGCUCGUAGGCGGUUUGUCGCGUCUGCUGUGAAAACGCGAGGCUCAACCUCGCGCCUGCAGUGGGUACGGGCAGACUAGAGUGCGGUAGGGGAGAUUGGAAUUCCUGGUGUAGCGGUGGAAUGCGCAGAUAUCAGGAAGAACACCCGUGGCGAAGGCGGCUCUCUGGGACGGUACUGACGCUGAGACGCGAAAGCGUGGGGAGCGAACAGG
This 254-nucleotide ribosomal RNA is filed under the name uncultured bacterium. RNAcentral's name for it is "partial 16S ribosomal RNA". It matches the Rfam family "Bacterial small subunit ribosomal RNA", at positions 524 to 776 of the family's 1533-position model. The record is from RNAcentral.